GAGAGUCACAUGGCCGAUCUUUAGCGUGGCCGGCCUGGUGGCUCCGUGGGCUAACCCAUCGGGCACUUUCUAAAGUCCAGACAAUUGGAUCGACUCCCAGAGACGCUGGGGAGUUAAAGACGAGCCCCGAGCCUCCCCGUCAGUCUGAGAUCUAAGCCCCGGGUGUAGCUCUCGUGCUGUCGGGGUGAGUUUGUGUAGGUGGCUGUUCUCUACCACGCCGGCCGUUUUGGGGGGUUCCAUUUUCGGGGCCCUCCAAAACAAGGAAAAUGGGGGGUUUAAGUCCUUUAUGAAUGAAUAGUAAUGAACGGAAUUCUAAAAAGCAGCCCCUUAUACCACUGAGACACCUGCAGGACGGGUGUGGCACUAGCAGUGAAAGAGAGGUGCAGUCCUAACUAGGAGCGGCAGGGGUCCCUAUCCAGCACAUUCCUCUUGAUUCGGUCAGCUGGCCGCAAGCUAGAAGUUCCCGUCGAGCACAGCCUCGUAGGGGAGUGUUACUGUUUUAGGUUUUCUGAAAAUCCUUUAGCCGACAAAUGCUUUAUGUAUGAUCUGGUGAGCUGAAGCUUCUAUGUAUCUCCAGUAACGUCAGUGUUGAAGCCCUUGUAACAGAAUCCGCAGCUGUCCGUCAGGACCGGAGCCCGCCUCCAGAGUGACCUUCCUCAGCGGACACGCCCCGUCCACCUGUUCCACAGGUGCGCUCGGCAAGAUGGCGGCGGGACGAGCUGGGGCGGCUCGAGGACGCCGAAAUGAGUGUCCUGUCCGUUGGAGCGUGCUCUCGAAGUUUGAAAAGUUUGUAUAAAGGUGCCAAAAGGAUUUCAAGAACGGGAUACCAGUAAUUAAAAAUG
Molecule: non-coding RNA, 842 nt
Organism: Lepisosteus oculatus (spotted gar)
Lineage: Eukaryota; Metazoa; Chordata; Actinopteri; Semionotiformes; Lepisosteidae
Source: RefSeq, a predicted model, not a curated record